CCACAGAGACGGUUCUAAUUGUUGAAGAACCCGCCUCAAAGCAGUACCACAGGUGCCCACUUGAUGCGCCAUGGUCCACCGUAUACGUGACAAGGAGCAGUUCUGUGCCACAGAUGCCAUCUUGCACCAUGCCCCCAGCUGCUGAUCACUUCUCACAGCAGCCAUCUUGAAGAGCACGCAAAUGUUGCCAGCGCUGAAGCUCCUUUGCGCCUGUCUGCUCUGCGGCGCCACAGGUAGCAACCACUGCUCUCAGUUGAGUGGCAGCACUUUCCACGUCCUGUUUCUGUAGGUGCUUGCAUGACAAUUGGCCGCGGACUGACUGAAUGGUCAAUAUGUUCCAGGUACUCAGAAGGAGGUGUGGCAGACGUCACAGUUGACGGUGAAGACCGGUCUCCCCAGCUGCAUGCGCUGCCGCCACCACCUCAACGGCAUCUACUUCUUCAUGUUGUGGUACCGACAGUCACCCGGGGCGGGUUUAAGGCACAUUGCCAUCAGCGCACCCUUCAUGAAACAAACAGAAUUCCUUGGAGAUUCCAGCCCGGACAAGUACACCAUCUCGCAGGUGGAGGCCGAGCAAGGGUCCCUUAGGGUGGAAAAGGUGCAGCCGGGCGACGGCGGAGUGUAUUUCUGUGCCGUCGGAAAGCUUCACUGUGCUUCACAUCUUUGGGAACGUGCACAGAAAACUGUAAGGUAACCAUGAACAGCUGCAGUGACCCACUUUACAGAACAUACACAUGAACAAAUGAGGACAUGGUAUCCCACAAAAAGGUGAACAUUGGUCAACACACGCACAAGGACUGAGUUGCCAGUGCCAUUAUUGGUCGGACAAAUAGACACAAGGCCUCUCUGUUAUUAAGUCCAAUGGACUCCAAAUUAAGGCUUUGACAGACACUAACUGUAACGUGGUGUUUCACCAAGCCACCUCAAAAUUUGGUACACACCUUCAGGCGGCU
This is a non-coding RNA of Nerophis lumbriciformis (worm pipefish), 953 nucleotides long. NCBI's taxonomy places the organism in Eukaryota, Metazoa, Chordata, Actinopteri, Syngnathiformes, Syngnathidae. The record is from the annotation of a RefSeq genome assembly.